GCCGCCACAGAGCAUUGGUUUGCUAGUGCGCUUUCUUCUGUUUUAAAAGAAUCAUUCACCGUAAUCUCCCCUCGACUACGCGGCUCGCAUGUUAUCGCAUUAUAUUGUGAAAUGUAGGCAGUCUUUUUUUUCUCUGUCACGUCAGUUUCUCUAAUUGGUUUACUUUGCACCUGUUAACCCCACCCCAGAAAAAGUCCUCUAAGGGAGCAGUUCCGGACUAACUUCAGCCAUAUCAAAGAGAGGCUUACCUAAUUGGCGUAUAUAGAAAACACCUGUGGCUGGCGUCUGCCUGUCGCCCCCUGGAAGAGAAAGGCCCUGUAGGACACAGCAUCCACACACCAGAGGAGAAGGGAGAGGCGCGAGGGGCUGAUGAGUCUCAGCUAUGUGAAGCUGUUUCUUCUCUUCCCAACGAGCUCCAUUACAUCAUUGGUUUAACCGAGACCGGCUCACAUCCACUGAAGCACAGGCACGUCACACAUUUUUAGACCUUUGCCCGGCGGAUGAAAAAGAUAGAGAUGAUCUGCUGCAGAGUUUACUCUCAUCCGGUAGUCCUUCAAUCUGUCCCUGUCCUGUCCUCGGGGCCUACACAGCACCGCACAAUACGGUGACACCGUGCGGGAGCAU
Molecule: long non-coding RNA, 624 nt
Organism: Fundulus heteroclitus (mummichog)
Lineage: Eukaryota; Metazoa; Chordata; Actinopteri; Cyprinodontiformes; Fundulidae
Exons: 3
Source: RefSeq, a predicted model, not a curated record